Long non-coding RNA from Macaca mulatta (Rhesus monkey), 5553 nucleotides. Lineage: Eukaryota; Metazoa; Chordata; Mammalia; Primates; Cercopithecidae. The record is from Ensembl.
GGUCGAAGUGCAAAGAUAUUCAUCUGGCCUUGUUCAUAUGAAAGUAAAAACAAUGGAAUUCCAGAGUUUCUGCUGAGUGGGGUCAGGCAACACCUCUCCCACCUUAAAUGCACCUGCAUCCAGUUUAAGAGGCUAAACACAAGGCUAAUUGAAGAGCUGAAGAGCCUCUUGGGAUAAAAUACUUAAAACCAUUUCUCUUUUUUUUUUUUUUUUGAGGUUGAGAUAUAGGCAUGCAUGUCUGGUGAAUGUGGCUCUGGUGUCUCUUGGGAUAAAAUACUUAAAACCAUUUCUCUUUUUUUUUUUUUUUUUUUUGAGGUUGAGAUAUAGGCAUGCAUGUCUGGUGAAUGUGGCUCUGGUGUAAACCAGAUGGGGGUAAUCCUAAGGUGAAUUUCAUCAGAAAGGAGAAAGUAAGCCCCUCCCUUAGCAACAGGACCUCAUCAAUAGAAGGAAGCAAUGGUUCCAAAUACAAAGUGUUAGCUGAUACCAGCACUUGAAUUAACCCCUCUACUAGAGAGGCCAACUAUUCAGAUUUGCCUAGGAUUGAGGAGUUUCCUGGGCCAUGGGACUUACAGUGCUAAAACCAGAAAAGUCCCAGCAAACUGGUCAUUCUGCCCUCUACUAGGGAGAUGUGGGUGGUCACUCAAAUAAAGUAGUUAAGUGAGAACUAUAGAGUGUAUAACAACAGUGGACACACUGGGCAGCAGGCAAGCUCACUGUGGGAUCCUAGCUGAGCAUAAUGAAGACAUCUUUUCCUUUUCACCUCAUAGGGCUUAUCAUAGCAGAAGAGAUUGGCAAUUUUGAAACGCAUUAGUGGACACGUUUGGAAUGGUGGAUUUUCAGAACAUGGUGAUGAGGUCAGUAGCACAGCAACAGGGGCACAGUGACCGACCAGAGCACGUCCUAUGGAACUGUCAGGCUUGGGGAUGCAUUGCCUUGGUUCAGCUGGCCAGAGAAGCAAGCAACAGGAGUGAUCCACGGACACAUAGCCAAUUUUGCUUGAAUUUGAUGACUCCAAUCCUCAGGGAAUGCAAUAGUUUGUUCCAUGCCACUGGAAAAAAAGGAGGCAGUUUUAUUAUUCCUUGUUGGUGAUUUGGUCAAGGUGUAGGUAUGUGACCCAGUCUGCUGGGGGAUUUCUGGAAAAGAUUUUCUUCCAGAUAAAACUUAGAGCUGAAGAUAAAACAAAGCUUUCUCUUGCCCCCUUUCAUUCUUUCAUUUGAAGAUUUUUGUGAGAGGAUUUGAUGCUUGGAUGUGUCAAUCAAUUUACAUCCAUAUGGCAACAAUCUAGAGUAAUAUUGUCAAACACAGAAAGUAAAGAGAGGAGAAUCAGAGAGAGGCUAACCCCUACAUUAAACCACAGAACUAUCCCUGGGCUCACCUACUUUUAAAUUUCCUAUUAAGUGAGAUAAUACACAUUCUCAAUACGUAAGCCACUAUUUUUUCAGGUUUUCUAUGGCUUGCAGCCAAAUACAUCCCACUUGAUGUAUUUUAUCAUGGCUCAGUUUCUCAGAUUUAUCCAACUGCUUUCUUUGUCCCACAAUCAGAAAGAUGAUGUUCUGAGAAUGAAGGCUGCCAUCAGAGGAGGUGGAAUCUCAAUGGCAUAAAAACUACUUCACAAUUUUUUAAAGGAGUAGCAUUGUGUAGCCAUAAUCCUAGGCAGUCAGAACCCUGUAGGCUUUGCCUCGUAAUGUUAGAGUCAUUUAACAGACAACGGCUAUGCAGAAGUUGCAAUGAUAGGGAACUUGAUGGUGAUGUCCCCAGGAGAGCUGUAUUGAUUCUUGAGUGGAAUACCAACUUCUAAUGACCAAAAUCCACAAGAAAAAAAAGCCCUAGCCAAAGAUACUUGAAAUAAUAUAUAUUAAUACGGUUCCAUCAUAAAUAAUACAUACUAUUAAUAUGGUUUUAAAUAAUGUAUAAUGCUAGAUUUGCAUAAUAAAUAAUACAUAAAUAUGUAAUCAGCCCGUGAAGUCAUAUGAAAUUAGUAAUCAUGAAGGAAACAACCUAGUAACAUGCUAUGAGAGGAAAGGAGGCCUUAAUCAGUGCUGCUGUGUCAUCUUGUGGCUAAGAGAAACACCAACCUUGUAUAAAGAAUUUGAUCUAUAUAUUUUACUAGUGAAAAAUAGUAGCUAGUAACAGACUUCAGUUAUAGCUAAUAGACUUCCUUUUGGCCUGUAAAGAUAACAUCACUUUUUAUUAGAAAAAAAUAUCUAAUCUAUCACUGAUUGAAAGGGUAUAGAAGAGUUGUUUCCGAAAAUGGAUGCAACACAAACCAUUAUCAUUGACCCUUUCAAAUCCUUCCAUUUUUUUUUUCAGGAAUUCACUUGUGUUAUCUUAUUUAAUCUGUCUAGUAACCCUAUGUGAUGAACAAUGUUUUUCUCAUUUUCCAGCUCAGGAAAUGAUGGAUGAGGGAGGUUAAGUAGUAAGUUACUUAACUUACCCAAGGUUACACAGCUAGUUGAUGGCAGAGACAGGUACUCAGCUCUUCUGAAACUAAAGCCUAUUGUUUUUCCACUAUAUUACCCUGUCUAUCAUUUUUAAUGUAUCUCUUCUCUGUGGAUUAAGAUCCUGGAUAUUUCAUAAUUCAAAUUUAGCAAACCUUUGAAGAAUCUCUUCUGUGUGCUUGACAUGUUAGACAUCUCAUGUAGGUGACGUCAUUUGUCCCCCACAAUAACCCUAUUGGGUAUUUGUAUCUUCAUGUUAGAGUAGGAAAUAGAGGAUUAGAAAAAUGAAGUGACUUGUCCAAAGCCUCAGAGUGUGAACCAAAAGUUGAGCCCUGUUUCUCCAUACCACACGACACUAAAUCUCUGGUGAAAGGUGAUGAAAUGUGACCCCUUGUUUUAACACCAGGUUCCCAAGGAAUUCUCCAAAGAGCAGACCCAAGGUCCAGGCUCCUUUAGAGUGUUGACUCCUGCCCAGCAAUAUUAAUUACUUUCUUCUGGAAUAAGAAAGGUAAUGUUCUAGGAGUGGAGGUUGCUGCCAAAAGAUUGGUGGGGGUGGGUACCAACUGCAAACUUUCUUCACAGAUUCGUAAAGGGCUGACACUAUGAGCAGCCUCAGUCAAGCCCACUCAAGGUACUUUAACAAACACUCAAAUUCUUGAGUCCCUCAUGUUCAUGUUCCACUCCUCCACAAUAUGUAGUUGGCAAAAAUUCCCUGCUCUUCUGGUAAUAGCAUUCUUGGAAAUUGUGCUUUGAGAUCAGUUCUUCUGGGAAAGACAUAACCUGCUGAAGAAGUACUGAGAAAGGUUGAAACUGUAAAUGUCAAGUCUACUCAGGAGAGUAAAUAUAAACUGCUUGCAUCUUUCUGGCUGACUUAUAGCUUAUCAAGCACACAUUAAACCUUUAAACCCUUUUUUUUCUUAAGUAAGAAUAAAUCUAAGUUGACUAUUCCAGCGUAUGUAUUUGUUUUCCCUACACUGUCUAUAAACCACGUCCAAGGUGAGUAUUUAUAAGCCUGAACAAAAACUAGACAAACAAUUCUGAGAAUAAGUGACAACUGUAACAGUUCAUGAUAAGACAGUCACAACAAAGGAAAUGCUAUGCAUUAAGUGAUUUUUCUUGCAAAUCCUUUAUACAUAUGUCAAGUUGUGUGCUGGCAGAGUGAAAGAAUAAAUCAAAGAGAAUGCCCAUGUAAGAAAGGAUUUUUAGGCAAAUGCUGUCUUGUAUGCAUAAAUCAAAUAGUGAUUGUAAAAAAUUGGAGGAAUAGCAUAGGUUUCUAUGGAAUUUUAAACAAUGAAGUUAUUUAGCAAUUGUACAACAAUUUAUAUUUAUGGAGUAGCUUACAAGUAUUUGCUUGUUAAAUCUUAUGCCAUUUCUGGCAAGUACACCCACACCAUUAGUUAAUUUUAUAGACAAGAUAACUGAAGCAAGGAAUUGUUAAGUAACUUUCCCAAGGUCACAUACCAGGUAUGGGCUGGGCAAGGACUUAACUUUAGAACUCUUGCCUUCACAAUCCCAAGUUGCAGGUCAGGGUAGUGGUGCAGCUGCCUCUUAGCUCUCUCUUCAAUGAGGGACAGGUCUUUGGAGCAUGCCUAGACGUGUGGGGUUGGGUGAUAAAGGCAAAGACUUCUGGCAGUAAAUCUGGAAGUGCCAAUGAUUAGUGUUACCAUUAGCAUUUCAGCUGGACCAUGAACCCCAUCAGCAUGCCUAUGAGAGGCAAACACCCAUCUGUAAUACAGCUUAGAGUGAGAUGAUCAUGACAGCAGAUCUACAGCUGUAGUUCUCAGUUCAGGCUGCAAUACCAGGAGGGGCUUUAAAACCAAUGCCCCAGGAUCAAUUAAAUCCAAAUCUCUGAGACUGGGGCUUGGACAGGGACAUUUUCAAAAAGUUACCCAGGUUUUUCUGACAUGUGGUCAGAGUUGAAAACCACUGGUGUAAAGAUCCUUCCAUGUUUGCUGGAUGUGGUUGGGCAGGUUGUUCAUUGCACAAGGACACCUAACUAAAGAAGCCAGAGAGGACCGAAAUUCAGUCCAUACACAGUGUGCCCUAAUUUGGGGGUAGCAUUUGUUUCAAAAACAUCACUUUUUAUCUGAUUCCCACAAAGAAGGCCCUGGAUCACUCACUCCCUAUUCUUAGAUAUGUAUUGCUGCAUAUGCUAAAAAUUCUAUUUUUAGUUUAUUUAUUAUGCAUUCAUUAAAAUUAUAUUAGCAUCUAUUAUAUGCUGGGCACUGGACACACACUGGGGGUGCAACUACAAAAUGAUCACAGCUCUAGUCUUAUUGAAUCCCCAUUUUUAGGCAGGACAAGUGAUUACACAGGGAGUUACACAACAAUGUGGAAAGUGCUCCAUUGCAGAUGACUACAGGAAGCUGGAGAAGAUCUAGAAAGGGUGCUCCACCCAGCCACUUUGGGGCUAAGCGACCUCAUAGUGGAAGUGGUGUAAAAGCUGAGACUGGAGGAGUCAUUGGCAAGAUAAAAGGAAGAGGUGGCAUUUGAAGCUGAGUGACAGCAUUUGAAGAAACUUGGAGUCAAGAGAAUGUGGGUUAUUGGGGAACUGACAGUGGUUCAGCCUGUCUGCCUGGAGCAUGGAGGGAAUGAAGGUAGCGGGAAGGGGGCUGGGACUCUGCCCAUCUUCCAAGGGUUGGAUUGGCCACUUGCAAGCUUAAUCUCUGUGCCUUGCUCCUCAGUCCUACAACCCUCAUUCCAUCUUACCAUUCUCUUUCCCUCCCUCCCUUCUUCUUUUCAGAUAUGGUUAUUUAUUAAAGCAGAAAACACCUAAAACACCUGUAGUCAACUUCCUAGAAUCUAUAACUCUAAGCACUAGAAAGAAACAAAAAGUUUGGAAGCAAAAAAGGGACAAACAAGCACGAGAUACAGAUACAGAUGCCACCUCUUUACUUGGUGCCAACUGGUACAUCCUCACAAUUGGCACAGAUUCCUCCUUGCCCACUGCUCUCCUUCCUGGAUAUGGCUGAUUUCACUUUCAAAAUUACCAUCUCAAUCCCAGGCCAGUGGGGAUGCAGCAGGGUGGGGAAAUGGGGUGGUAUAAGUGAAACAAGCUUGGUCAUGAGCUAAUAAAAUUAUUGAAGCUGGGUGAUCAAUCCCUCUAUUUCUUAUU